GCAGUCGAGGGGCAGCACAGGGUAGCAAUACUGGGUGGCGACCGGCAAACGGGUGCGGAACACGUACGUAACCUUCCUUUAAGUGGGAGAUAGCCCGAAGAAAUUCGGAUUAAUACCCCAUAAGAUUGUGGAGUGGCAUCACUCAGCAAUUAAAGAAAUUCGCUUAAAGAUGGGCGUGCGGCUGAUUAGGUAGUUGGUGAGGUAACGGCUCACCAAGCCAACGAUCAGUAACUGGCGUGAGAGCGCGACCAGUCACACGGGCACUGAGACACGGGCCCGACUCCUACGGGAGGCAGCAGUAAGGAAUAUUGGUCAAUGGACGCAAGUCUGAACCAGCCAUGCCGCGUGAAGGAUGAAGGUCCUCUGGAUUGUAAACUUCUUUUAUAUGGGAAGAAACCACUUUUUUCUAAAGGUGUUGACGGUACCAUAGGAAUAAGCACCGGCUAACUCCGUGCCAGCAGCCGCGGUAAUACGGAGGGUGCAAGCGUUAUCCGGAUUCACUGGGUUUAAAGGGUGCGUAGGCGGAUUAGUAAGUCCGUGGUGAAAUCUCCGAGCUUAACUCGGAAACUGCCGUGGAUACUAUUAAUCUUGAAUACUGUGGAGGUUAGCGGAAUAUGUCAUGUAGCGGUGAAAUGCAUAGAUAUGACAUAGAACACCAAUUGCGAAGGCAGCUGGCUACACAGAGAUUGACGCUGAGGCACGAAAGCGUGGGGAUCAAACAGGAUUAGAUACCCUGGUAGUCCACGCCCUAAACGAUGAUUACUCGACAUUUUGCGAUAUACAGUAAGUGUCUGAGCGAAAGCAUUUAAGUAAUCCACCUGGGAAGUACGACCGCCAGGUUGAAACUCAAAGGAAUUG
Molecule: ribosomal RNA, 858 nt
Filed under: uncultured bacterium
Lineage: Bacteria
Description: bacterial SSU rRNA
Rfam family: Bacterial small subunit ribosomal RNA
Source: RNAcentral